CAGGGAUAUUAUGGAGGUAACAGAGGCAAAGAAGCACCACUCUGACAUGGAAAAUAAUUUCCGUUGUCAGAUUAUUCUUGUUUAACUGGGUUUAACUUUAUAGUAGGGUUAAAUGUGGCCUUUGAAGGUUGGUGAGUAACAACAUCUUUUAAAACAUGGUGAAUUCCAACAAGAAAAGACCAAGGCAACAGACGCAUGAGAGUGAGGUAUUUACCUGAGGGCGAUUGAAGUCACCAGCUUAACAGUAGUGGAAAGACCUUAAGCCAGAGAACUCCAGGUUCAAGAACCACCACCUGCAAACUUGGCAAAUUUGGACAAAUGUCUCUCUGAGUUUCAUUGUCUUCAUCCACAAAUAAAGCAAGAUUACUUCACCUACAGAAUUGCGCAAUUAUGACCAGACCACGAGGGUAUGAAGGAUGAGGAAAAGGGAGCAGUCAUGGAGCUCCUUUUGGAGGGAGUCAUAAUUCCUUAGACCUCUGACAACUGGAACUCUCAAUCUGCCAGUGAUAGCUGACAUGAGCCCAAUAAGGAUGGUCUUUUCUAUUCAAAGAUAGGGACACCCUCUUUUUAAAGGACAUUCAAUUCAAAUGUAUCUUCUCUGGUUAAAGUAUGGUGAAGUCUGUCCUGUGGGCACUCCCCAUUGACCCCUAGCAGCUCUU
This 659-nucleotide long non-coding RNA is filed under the name Pan troglodytes (chimpanzee). RNAcentral describes it as "long non-coding RNA NONPTRT010816". Lineage: Eukaryota; Metazoa; Chordata; Mammalia; Primates; Hominidae. The record is from RNAcentral.